Molecule: ribosomal RNA, 1715 nt
Filed under: Natrinema thermotolerans A29
Lineage: Archaea; Methanobacteriati; Methanobacteriota; Halobacteria; Halobacteriales; Natrialbaceae
Description: bacterial LSU rRNA
Rfam family: Archaeal large subunit ribosomal RNA
Source: RNAcentral
AGUGCGCUCGAGGGUGGUCUCAAGCCCUAGACAGCCGGGAGGUGAGCUUAGAAGCAGCUACCCUCUAAGAAAAGCGUAACAGCUUACCGGCCGAGGUUUGAGGCGCCCAAAAUGAUCGGGGCUCAAGUCUACCACCGAGACCUAGCAGCACCACUCAGACUGGUGAUCUCGUAGGUUGGCGUUCUGUUCGGGUGGAAGCACGGCUGAGAAGUCGUGUGGACCGUUCAGUAACGAAAAUCCUGGUCAUAGUAGCAGCGUUAGUCGGGUUAGAACCCCGACGGCCGAACGAGUAAGGGUUCCUCAGCAAUGCUGAUCAGCUGAGGGUUAGCCGGUCCUAAGUCAGCCCGUAAGUCGAAGCUGACAACAGGGAAAUAGGUUAAUAUUCCUAUGCCAGUGUGUACUCAAAGCCAACGCUUUGGGGCCGCCUCUGCCGGGCUUUCGCCCGGUCGAACAGUCGAAGUUCGUGGAAGCCGUAAUGGCACGAAGCGACCGAAUGGCUGGAUAGCGUAAGAGAGGUCAACCUAGAGCCCGUGAAAAGGCAAACACACUGUCCGUACCGAGAUCCGACACAGGUACUCGUGGCGGCGAAAGCCAAGGUCUGUCGGGAGCAACCGACGUUAGGGAAUUCGGCAAGUUAGUCCCGUACGUUCGCAAUAAGGGAUGCCUGCCCUGCAAUGGGGCAGGUCGCAGUGACUCGGGCGCUCCGACUGUCUAGUAACAACAUAGGUGACCGCAAAUCCGCAAGGACUCGUACGGUCACUGAAUCCUGCCCAGUGCAGGUAUCUGAACACCCCGUACAAGGGGACGAAGGACCUGUUAACGGCGGGGGUAACUAUGACCCUCUUAAGGUAGCGUAGUACCUUGCCGCUUCAGUAGCGGCUUGCAUGAAUGGAUCAACGAGAGCGCCACUGUCCCAACGUUGGGCCCGGUGAACUGUACGUUCCAGUGCGGAGUCUGGAGACCCCCAAGGGGAAGCGAAGACCCUAUAGAGCUUUACUGCAGGCUGUCACUGAGACGUGGUCGCCAUUGUGCAGCAUAGGUAGGAGCCGGUACACAGGUACCCGCGCUAGCGGGCCACCGAGGCAGCAUUGAAAUACUACCCGAUGGUGACUGCGACUCUCACUCCUGGCGGAGGACACUGGUAGCCGGGCAGUUUGACUGGGGCGGUACGCGCCUGAAAAGAUAUCGGGCGCGCCCCAAGAUUUCCUCAUCCGCGUCGGAGACGCGGAAAAGAGCGCAAGAGCAAACGGAAGUCUGACAGUGUCCGGCACAACGACGGACGCUGACGCGAAAGCGUGGUCUAGCGAACCAAUUAGGCUGCUUGAUGCGGCCAAUUGCUGACAGAAAAGCUACCUUAGGGAUAACAGAGUCGUCACCCGCAAGAGCACAUAUCGACCGGGUGGCUUGCUACCUCGAUGUCGGUUCCCUCCAUCCUGCCCGUGCAGAAGCGGGCAAGGGUGAGGUUGUUCGCCUAUUAAAGGAGGUCGUGAGCUGGGUUUAGACCGUCGUGAGACAGGUCGGCUGCUAUCUAUUGGGGGUGUUACGGUAUCUGACGGGAACGUUCGUAUAGUACGAGAGGAACUACGAAUGGGUGCCACUCGUGUACCAGCUGUCCGAAAGGGCACGUGCUGGGCAGCGACGCACCACGGGGUAAGAGCUGAACGCAUCUAAGCUCGAAACCCACCUGAAAAAGAGAUACCACCGAGGCCACUCGU